GCAAAUCGGGGUAUGAACUAAUGAAAAUUCUUUAACAAAUAUUACAAGCAAACACAUGAACAGAGAUUCACGAGCAAACAUAAUAUAAAAAAAAAUCAACAAAAAAUAUAAAUCGAAAGAAGCAAGAACGGACCUCAAUAAGCCAUAAUUCAUUUACAAUGGGAGCUAUCAAAUCCAAGUACAAUGGAGAGGUUCGACUUAAUAAUUCUGCUUGAGAUCUGAACCAAGAUUGGAGACUUCUAAAGGCAACAUCGUCGGAACCUCGAAUCGGCGAACUCGAACAUCACCUCACUUUAACGAUUAUUACGGAGCUGAUUUUGGACUGAUUUUGAAGUUGUUUUCGAGCUAUUUCGCAGCUGGUUUCUAUUGCAUUUUGGGAUGCUUUUCGUAGUUGUUUAACCGGUAGAUUUAGACUGAUUUUCAGAGCAAAUUUUGGAGAUGUUUAGGUUCCUUUUGGAUUUGUUUCCAUGGAAGUUCGAGGUGAGUUUUGGACUGGUAUUUAUGGCUGAGUUUCAUGGAGUUUCAACUGAUUUGGGGUGAGUUUAAAUGGCGGUGAAUGUAGCGAGGACAAGAAGAAGGUAGCUGCAGCUACGUUUUCUCUAUUUUUUUAGACUCUCUUUUUCGUCUCUAUCUCCAAAUCCCUCUGUUUUUCACCUCUCCGUUUUUAAUUAUUGGUCCUUGUUGUUAUCCCCCUUUGUUUUUGUGUUGUUUUUUUGUUUUCUUCCCAUAUCUCUCGUUCUCUUUUAUUUUGUUCUAAGAAUUCCCCCUGUUUCGUGGCUCCCUCCCCUGGUUUUGAUUUGGUCCAGAGCUGGUUCUCAAAGAUGGGGAAUGGCAAGCUCUCUCUUUUCUCGAUCCGGAGUUAGGCCUUUUCCUUUGUUCUUUUGUCGUUCCACCAAAUCUCCCCUGUCGUUCUUUUUUCCUAGGUCUAUAUUCUGUUUGUGUGUGUUUAUAUAUUUCAAAGAGAAUAAAGAAAAGCCCUUCUCCAAGAAAAACGUGACCAGUUCCUUUUUCCCCUUUUUUUGUUGUGCCAAAUCCCUUUUUCUCUUUCUUUUCCAUAUCUGUUAUGGGUGUGUAUACAUAAGUGUGUGCGUGACUUUUUUUUGUUAUUAUUGGAAUAAAAUGUGCAUGUGAGUUAGUUAUGGGAAGUGGAUAGGAAAGCAUCUUUUGGCAAGUGGCACAAUUUUAUUAGCUCUUGUUCUUAUAAAAAAAAUCAGGUUUUCUUUUAAAGGGAAAAAGAAAAAUGCUAAGUCAAUAAUACUAUUGAUUCUUAUUUUUUUUAUUUUCGAAAAUAAAACCUAUAAAGGUGAAAUAAAGACUAAAAUAUAUGGAUUAGACUUUAAAGUAUUUAUAUACUAAAGAAAUUGUGAAAAUUUAAAUAUGGUCAAAAAUUAGUUGCUCACAGCUGUCCCUCUUUGCUUGGGAACAUGAAAAAUUUUCAAGCAAAGAUAAAGUGAGCCGUGUGACUAAUUUUUGACCAAAUAUUUAUUCAAAAAGGGAAAAUAAACAAAGGAAAGGGUGCAACCGAGUUCUGGUUUUGGACAGCCUACAUAUCCCUGGCUAUAAGGGAAUCAGGUCGUGUGUAGUUCAAGAAGAAUGAUGGAGUGACGAGUUUGAGAGUCGGGCGAGGUUCCGUCGAGGCUCUGGUCCGCAGUCCUGUUAUUACAUCAAAAUCAAAAAUAAAAAGGAUUAACUAAGCCUAUCAUCUACGAGUUACAAGAUUCCUAUCUAUGAGUCUUCUGAAGCUUGAUCUUGAGUCUUGGUUGGUUCUUCAUGCGGACUCUGAUCUGAAUUUUGAUGCUUGUUAACUGCAGGUGUUAGUUCAUUCUUCCACGGCUUCUUCAUAUCAAGACCGGACAUGCAGUGCUCGUGACUUCAGCCAUGUCUUGAGCGGUCCACAUCUUUCAUCUGCUUCUGCAUUUGGAUUCACUUCCCUCUUUUUUCUUUUUCUUUUUUUUUCUUUUUUUUUUCUUUUUAUUUUCUUUUUUUUUGGGAUUGAGACUUAUUCUUUUGGUUAUCUCGUGUUGUCGACUCGUAUUUUGAGGCAAGCUUCCGCUACUUCUAUCUUGAAUUGAAUUCUGAAAUGACUUCCCUCGUUCUCCAGGUGGGCGCGUGCUACUGACUUGAAAUUUGAAGUGACUCUAAAAUGAAUUCCCUUGUUCUCCAGGUGGGCGCCUGAUACUACAGCAGAACAGACAAAAUAAAAGAAACUUUUCUGCCUCAAUUUGCACUAGGAAGAUUUGUAAGUUGUUAGCAGAACUAUAAAUCACCUACGCUAUUGAUGAGAAUAAAAUUGAAGACUCGACUAGGAUGUGCAUCUCUUGUGAGUAAAACCAAGAAAAUUUUGACUAGCAAAUGCGUCUGCUUAAAAAAACCUGAAUGACCCAUAUUAGGAAGUGCGUCUCCUAAAAUUUAAGAUUGAGCUUGCGGGAAACUAUAAACUAAGCUUGACUAAAGUAAAAACUGACCCUAUUCUCCAGGCGGGACCCCUAAUUUCAAGAAAACUAAAAAUUAAUAACUUAAGAAAACUAAAAAUUGACCCUCGUUUUUUCUUUUUUUUUUCAAAUCCAGACUUCCUUUUUAAAAAAAAUUAUUAUCCUAGGAGAAAAUUCAUCAGACUAGGUUUUAAUCUUAGGAGAAAGAUUCAUCAGACUAAGUUUUUGAUCCUAGGAGAAAGUUCAUCAAACUAGGUCUCUUUUCUUCUUCUUCUUCUUUUUCUCUUUUUUUUUGGUAUCUUAGGAGAAAGAUUCAUCAGAAUAAGAUUUCUAUCCUAGGAGAAAGUUCAUCAAACUAGGUCUUCUAUCUUAAGAGAAAAAUUCAUUAGACUAAGAUUUUAAUCUUAGGAGAAAGAUCAUCAUACUAGGUCUUCUAUCUUAGGAGAAAGUUCAUCAGACUAGGUUUUCUAUCUUAAGAGAAAGAUUCAUCAAACUAAUAUUUUGAUCCUAGGAGAAAAAUUCAUCAGACUAAGUCUUCUAUCCUAGGAGAAAAAUUCAUCGGACUAAGAUUUUGAUCCUAGGAGAAAGUUCAUCAGACUAGGUUUCCUAUCUUAGGAGAAAGAUUCAUCAGACUAAGAUUUUUAUUGGGAGGAAAAUCCAUCAGGCUAGGACUUUUUAUCCUAGGAGGAAAAAAAUAUGACGAGCAAAUGGCAAAACUUUAUGCACACGAGCAAGAUAGAUAAAGGCAAAUAUUUGAGAAACUUUAUGCUCGAUCAGCUUGAGUCGGUCUCAAGAGACUUUUGUUCGGUACUGACUCAGAUUGUUUCACACCCAGUACCAUUUGUAUUUGCGGCUCAAUCAGCCUUAUCCCAACUGGAGAUCUUUGCUUAGGUGACCUUUUCUGAUAUCUUGAAUGACUUCUUACUUUUGAGCAAUUUGUUUGUUAGAGAGAAUCACAAGUUAUCUUUGCUUUUUCCAAGUAGGCUGACAACAGUCUUUUGGGGGAGCCUUUGCUUGAAUCCUCAAAGCAUGUUGACAGUAACAAUCGAGUGUGCUGGCCAAAUUUACUUUGUGCAACUGAAAAGCUAGUAGCAGAUUUUGAAAUAUUUUCUUGUUUGUUUUGACAAGGACUGACUUGGAGUGAAGGACACAAUGAUGCUAAGAAACAAGUAUUAACAAGAAAUGCCCCUGUCGGAAGGAUAGAAGGAAGAGUUUUUUUUCCUUUUUUUUCAAUAACUAGCCUUAAUGGUCAUGACAUGCAUUUUGGACUCAACGGCCUGAUCUAUCAAACUAAUCCAAUCUUCCCUUUGCCAUUCUUUAUUGACCUUUUGAAGUCGGGCUUGUUCGUGCCGAUCCUUUGCAUCGGCUUCAUGACUCACUUUCGACGGUGCCCCAGGGAUUUUUGCCAACAAAUCUCUCUCAUUUAUUCAUCUCUGCUUAUUGUCGCCUUACAGUGCCCAUGAAGGUUUUCACUAGUAAGACUCUCUUAUUUUUUCUUUCUUUUUCUUUUUCUUUUACUUUCUGGUGCGAGCAACUUGACUGUGUUCUAUGUCGCGUGAUAACAGUUGCUCAUUGCAUGCUUCUCUUGGAAUUCUUGAAGGCAUACCGGGAGGUCUUUAUUUGGAAGGAUUUUAGAUAGGGUUGGACAGAAGGGACGGCAUGAAGGCUCAAAGUAGACUCAAAAUGAAGGGUUGUGGACUUACAACUCUUGGAAUCGACUCCUUCAAAAGUGAAAUAAAAUCUUUGCCCUAGUUUCAGAUACUAGGGAUUUUUUUGAAUUUUUAUUUGGUUGGACCGAAUUGUGAGGCGGCCUACGUAUCCUUUUUUUAAGGAAUCAGGUCGAACGUAGUUCAAACAUCUGACCUAAACUAUUUUUCAUCUUUCUUUUUUUCCUUUUUUUCUCUCUUUUUUUCUUUUUUUUCUUUUUUUCUUUUUUUGUUUUCCCCAACUUCUAUCUUCUGGGGGCAUGGGCAUCCGACAGUUCUUUUCUUCUUCUCUUUUUUUCUAAAAUAAGUUGCCGCAGUUUCUAUUUUCUAAGGGCAUGGACCUUCCACUAUUCUUUUCUUCUUCCUUUUUUUCCACUUGAACUUUCAAAGAGCUGCCCCAGUUUGUACUCUUAGGGCAUGAACAUUAUUGUUAUUAUUGUUUUUCAUUUUCAUUUUUUUUGACUUUUGACUCUAGACCUGAUUCCAAAAGAGGGUGGUCAAAGAAAAUAAUACAGGCUCAAAAGGGUGACAAAGGGUAUUAACUGUUUGGGUAGCAGAAAAAAGACCUCCCAACCUCGAGAAUGCCAAACAUACUAUCUUUUCGCGAUCACAACAUUGACGAACAUGUCUGUCUUCUUGGUGUGUCAUGGUCGAAAAACACUUUCCAUCCAUUAAUGUAAAACUUUUGACCAAGUUUCAAUUGAUUCAAAAUCCCCAAACCCGAUCUUCACAAUGAUUUGAAGGUGAAUUUUACUCGACCUUAAUUCCAAAGUAUUUCAACACUUUUUCAUCCUCAAAAGUGUUUUUUUCUCAGUUAUACAAUUCCAGAUUAAAUCAGUUUCUAAGAUCUAGUCAAAAUUUCCGCAUGUAUGUCAUGUCAUUAGAACUAGCGAGAAAAGAACUAAGAACAAAAUGACACAAAAGUACAAACUGUAUUUCAUUGAGUAAAGAAUGAAAGGGUUUGACAACAAGACAAACAACCUAAAAUCCGAGUUACAGCCCUAAACAACCCGGAUAAUGAAAAUAGCAACAGAACAGACAGACAAGACUCACACAAACAGAAUGGAGGGAUAGAAGGGUUUGACUUAAUAAAACAAAUAAAAUCUGGAUGACAACCCUGAAAUAACCCAGAUAGUAGAAAAAACAUCAAAACAAGCUACCAAGAUUCCUUGAGAAUGACUUUUCAAUUGCUAAGCUUGACAUUUAGCCACAAAUUUGCUCAUCAGAAUCACCAUGGCCUUCUCCAAUUUCAGUCGGCAAGUUUCCGAGAGGAUUCUCAUUCUCCAUGUCACCACGCAUCAUCCCCACAAAGUGUACAUCAUCAUGUGUAGGUAAAUGAUUUUGCACGAUAUUUCAAGUGUCACUGUCUUGGAUCACAAUCAAUUUUUCCUAGAUCAUCCUUUCUAUUUCUCUUUUCAAAUCCCGAUAGCUUUGAACAUUGCGCCCCUGGGCAUUGGAAUGGUAUUCGCACCUUUUAGAAGGGUCAAAGCUUCUUGCACAUUGAUCCACAUGAUUUGGAAGAAUAGGUGCAAUCAUAUCAUAAUGCUUUAAUUUCUCAAACAAGCUUUCAUAGGACUCUCCUAUGGGAGUAAAAUUAUCUUUCAACCUUUGUUCCCAUCUAUACCCCUGGCUUGGAUGUAGGUUAUAGGGUACUUGAAAAUUUUGUGGAGGCUGGUGGAGAUUUUGCAGUGCUGGUGCGUGCCUUCUGGGGUAUCUUGGUGGCUUGACAACAUACCGAGGUGGAGCAACAAAGUAUUGUGAGUUCUGCGGUGGAUAGUAGUGCUCAGGAGCAUCAUCAGAAAAAAGACGAGGCUGGUCAUACCUUCGAGAUGCUCUCCUAGGACCUCUUCUCGACCCAUAUGUUAUCAUGAUUUCUUCGUCCUUCUCAUUCGUGUCACUAAAAUUAUCAGAUUCAAUCUGGCCAGCCUGAGUUGCGGCUUUGAGAACUGCUUGACUUAUAAUUCUGCCUGUCUUAAGUCCAUUCUCAACCAUUUCCCCCAUUUUGAUUGCUUCCGAGAAAGAUUUACCUACUGCGAACAUCAUGUUUUGAAAAUAAUCUGGCUUUUGAGCCUGAAGAAAGACAGUGAUUAGCUCGUGAUCAUCCAUGGGUGGCUUAACUCUAGCUGUUUGCUCUCUCCAUUUAAUGGCAUAGUUGGUUUCUUCUUCAGGUUUGAAAGGGAAUUGUGGUUUGGGGCGAUGUCGAUGUUGUAUUGGAACUGUUUGACAAAGGCCUGUGCCAUGUCAUUCCAGAUAUACCAGCGAGAUGUCUUUAUCCAUAAACCAUUCGGAGGCUACCCCUGUAAGGCUUUCCUCAAAAUAAGUUAUUAGCAAUUCUUCAUUUCUUCCUGCACCUCUUAGCUGAUUGCAAUACCUUUUCAGGUGGGCUAUGGGGUCUCCAUGUCCAUCAUACUUUUCAAAUUUAGGGAUCUUGAAACCAAGUGGCAAACGAACAUCAGGGAACAUACAUAGAUCCUUGAAGGCAAUACUCUUCUGACCUGCCAACCCCUGCAUGUUUUUCAACUUUUGUUUCAAGCUUUUCAGUCUUUGAGUCAUUUCUUCCUAUGCCAUCUUUCGGGCAGGCUUCUCAAUGUUUGCAGGAAGAUCAAACAAGUACGAGUGGUACUGCUCUUGCUGGGUAGAAAAUUGUGAAUCAUGACAAGGUUGUCCUUGGUCAUUGGCCCAUGCUUGACACAUUUUGGUCAUUUGUUGUUUCAGUAUUCUAUUUUCCUCAAACACAGCAGACUUUUGUCGAACCCUCUGACCCUGAGUCUCUUGAGCACUUGUAACAGCUUCGAUGUCAGUUAUCAUUUUUCUUUAGAUCUUGUGUUGUCCGCUUACCACAAACCGACCAACUAAAGCUAUCUUCAUAAUUCAAAACAAAAGACACGUUAGAAUGGACUCAGCCAGUCCUUAUUAUUAUUAUUAUUAUCAUUUUUUUUAUUUUUCAUUUUUUUUGGUUAAUCGAACCUGUUGUGGGUAGCCUAUGUAUCAUGUGGGAACAUGAAUCAGAUCUUGCAUAGUUCGGGAAGAAUAAGAAUAACGUAAAUAAACUAACUCUUUUUUUUUGGAUUUUGAACUUUUUUCGAAAGAAAGACUUAAAAAGAAAAAAUAAAAUAUUUUUGGAUUUCGAUUUGUUUGUUUGUUUGUUUUAAAAAAAAAUUAAAAGAAAGACUUCUCAAGAAGAAAGAAAAUAUUUUUUUUUUGGAAUUUUGACUUUUUUUUUCUUUUUCUUUUUUUGAAAUUUCGAAAGAAAAACUUCUAAAGAACAAACGAGAUAUUUUUGGAAUUUUAUUUUGAAUUUAUGAAAGAAAUGCUUCUAAAGAAAAAGUAAAUAUUUUUGAAUCUUGAAUUUUCUUUUCAAUUAUUGAAGAAGAAUGAAAAUAUUUUUGGAUUUUGAGAAGACAUUAAAAGAAAAUGUUUUUGUAUUUUUUAAAAAAUUGGGGUCUAAAAGAAAGACUUUCUAAAGAAGCAAGUAAUGGAAAAUAUUUUUGGAUUUAUUAUUUAAAAACAAAAUUUGGGCCAGAACCGAUGAGAUUUGCCUACGUAUCUCAUAUCCGGUGAGAAUCAAACCCGCGUAGUUCGGCCAUUUUGACAUAACCGGAAAAACAUGAUAUUGACUCACUUUCAUUUUUUGAAAUACAUUUUCCUUUAUUUAUUUUUCAAAAAUUUUGGCAAAGUUUUGAGGCAUUUUCAACUACCGAAAUUUUCAGGACCGGGUGAAUUCUCUAUCCUACAUCGCUUUUGGUUUUUCUGUUGUUUUUCUUUCCUUAGCCAGUCAACAUACAAGCCAAAGCAAAUAAAUAUACAAAUAGCACGUAAGAUGUAUCAGGAUGGUGUUAGGUAUUCCCGGGUUCCGUGGUUUUAGCACGGUCGCUUCAAUCAUGCCUGACUUAAUUAAAUUGUCUAAUUACUUAUUUUAGAACCUAUGUGCAUUUUUACCUCUUACCGCUUUUAAUUGCUUGAUCAUUCAUAACAAUAGAAUUAUCUUGGAACGAGUCACGCGUACGUGUAAUCGUUUUGUUAGGUGCGCUAUAAAUCAUGUCACACGUACGUGUACAUAAUUAGUAACACUUAUUAAUAUUUAGAUUGUUUCAUCCAAAGUUGCGAGAAAGCAUACCUUGGUUUUAACUUUGAAAAUCGUAACCAUGUCACGCGAACGUGUACAUAAUCACGAUAAUUUAUUUAUUAAUACACGCCUAAAGCAUUUCUACGAAUAUUCAUUAUUCUUCCAAAAUUUUGAGAUUUUUGUAAGGAUAAAGAGUUAUGGAUAGUUGUAAAAAAGAGGUGCAUGAUUGUGAUGUUAUUGGGCUUCAUAGGAUUUAAUUUUUGGCCCAAAUUAAUUCUAAUAAAUACUUUAAGCUUUAAAGUCUAACACUUCUCAUUCCUAAAAUCACUACUAAGUUGUCAUCUACAGCACAUUAAAUAUCUAAGAAAAUUUAAACUAAAAGAAGAUCUCUAUCGAAAUAAAACAAUUUAGCCUGACUCUAUUGCCGAUAACUCAUUUUCAAUUCAUUUUAAAUCAAAUCCCAUAGCACAUCGACCAACUAUUUACAGAAACGAAAUAAGCUAUAGGGGUAAAGCAUAGCAUAAAGCAGAGCCAGAGAUCGACGCUGCAGAACCCAAGCGGAAUUAAACCCAACCUUCCAAACUCCCUAAGCUAAAUUAACUAAUUCAAUAACUUGUAUUGUAUGAUUAUUUUAACAUGCUACCGUAAAAUUAGACAACACAAGCAUAUCAGCAAGAAAAAAAUCAAAAUCUAUGGCAAAUCGGGGUAUGAACUAAUGAAAAUUCUUUAACAAAUAUUACAAGCAAACACAUGAACAGAGAUUCACGAGCACACAUAAUAUAAAAAAAAUCAACAAAAAAUAUAAAUCGAAAGAAGCAAGAACGAACUUCAAUCAGCCAUACUUUCGUUUACAAUGGGAGCUAUCAAAUCCAAGUACAAUGGAGAGGUUCGACUUAAUAAUUCUGUUUGAGAUCUGAACCAAGAUCGGAGACUUCUAAAGGCGACAUCGUCGGAACCUCGAAUCGGCGAAGUCGAACAUCACCUCACUUUAACGAUUAUUACGGAGCUGAUUUUGGACUGAUUUUGAAGUUGUUUUCGAGCUAUUUCAUAGCUGGUUUCUAUUGCAUUUUGGGAUGCUUUUCGUAGCUGUUUAACCGGUGGAUUUAGACUAAUUUUCAUAGCUAAUUUUGGAGAUGUUUAGGUUCCUUUUGGAUUUGUUUCCAUGGAAGUUCGAGCUGAGUUUUGGACUGGUAUUUAUGGCUGAGUUUCAUGGAGUUUCAACUGAUUUGGGGUGAGUUUAAAUGGCGGUGAAUAUAGCGAGGAACAGGAAGAAGGUAGCUGCAGCUGCUUUUUCUCUAUUUUUGUCUAAACUCUUUUUUCGUCUCUUUCUCCAAAUCCCUCUAUUUUCACCUCUCCAUUUUUAAUUUUUGGACCUUGUUCUUAUCGCCCCCCCCCCCCUGUUUUUUUGUUGUUUUUUUUGUUUUCUUCUCAGAUCUCUCGUUCUCUUUUAUUUUGUUCUCUGAAUCCCCCCUAUUUUGUGACUCCCUCCCCUAGUUUUGAUUUGGUCCAGAUCUGGUUCUCAAAGGUGGGGAAUGACCAGCUCUCUCUUUUCUCGAUCCGGAGUUAGGCCUUUUCCUGUAUUUUUUUUUAUCGUUCAACCAGAUCUCCCCUCUCGUUCUUUUCUCCCAGGUCUAUAUUGUGGGGUGUGUGUGUGUGUGUUUAUAUAUUUAAAAGAGAUUAAAGAAAAGCCCCUCCCCAAGAAAAACGUGACCAGCCCCUUUUUCCCUUUUUUUGUUGUGCCAAAUCCCUUUUUCUCUUUCUUUUCCAUAUCUGUUAUGGGUGUGUAUACAUAAGUGUGUGUGUGACUUUUUUUGUUAUUUUUGGAAUAAAAUGUGCAUGUG
RNAcentral lists this long non-coding RNA (10045 nucleotides) under Nicotiana tabacum (common tobacco). Its description in RNAcentral is "long non-coding RNA (NTAB_LNC005597)". The record is from RNAcentral. Lineage: Eukaryota; Viridiplantae; Streptophyta; Magnoliopsida; Solanales; Solanaceae.